UGGACAAAUUACUGUAUUCGACUGUAUUCACGGCGUGAAACAGGAGAUUACACCAUUUUAAAACGGAAAGUGUAUCAAUUAACAUAAUAGACUACU
This 96-nucleotide microRNA precursor is filed under the name Nicotiana attenuata. RNAcentral describes it as "MIR6152 microRNA precursor family". It matches the Rfam family "MIR6152 microRNA precursor family". Lineage: Eukaryota; Viridiplantae; Streptophyta; Magnoliopsida; Solanales; Solanaceae. The record is from Rfam by way of RNAcentral.